CAGCCGCCGCGGUAAAACGUAGGUGGCAAGCGUUGUCCGGAAUUAUUGGGCGUAAAGGGCUCGCAGGCGGUUUCUUAAGUCUGAUGUGAAAGCCCCCGGCUCAACCGGGGAGGGUCAUUGGAAACUGGGAAACUUGAGUGCAGGAGAGGAGAGUGGAAUUCCACGUGUAGCGGUGAAAUGCGUAGAGAUGUGGAGGAACACCAGUGGCGAAGGCGACUCUCUGGUCUGUAACUGACGCUGAGGAGCGAAAGCGUGGGGAGCGAACAGGAUUAGAUACCCCCGUAGUCCCUGUCUCUUAUAC
This 301-nucleotide ribosomal RNA is filed under the name uncultured bacterium. RNAcentral's name for it is "partial 16S ribosomal RNA". It matches the Rfam family "Bacterial small subunit ribosomal RNA", at positions 509 to 807 of the family's 1533-position model. The record is from RNAcentral.